GACGAAGGAUGCAAGCGUUAUCCGGAUUCAUUGGGUUUAAAGGGUGCGUAGGCGGACUGAUAAGUCAGUGGUGAAAUCUCUCAGCUUAACUGAGAAACUGCCAUUGAUACUGUUAGUCUAGAGUACAGAUGAUGUGGGCGGAAUAUGACAUGUAGUGGUGAAAUACUUAGAUAUGUCAUAGAACACCGAUUGCGAAGGCAGCUCACAAAACUGUAACUGACGCUGAGGCACGAAAGUGCGGGGAUCAAACAGG
This 253-nucleotide ribosomal RNA is filed under the name uncultured bacterium. RNAcentral describes it as "partial 16S ribosomal RNA". It matches the Rfam family "Bacterial small subunit ribosomal RNA", at positions 524 to 776 of the family's 1533-position model. The record is from RNAcentral.